UUCGGAUUGCAGGCUGCAACUCGCCUGCAUGAAGUUGGAAUUGCUAGUAAUCGCGGAUCAGCAUGCCGCGGUGAAUACGUUCCCGGGCCUUGUACACACCGCCCGUCACACCAUGGGAGCCGGUAAUACCCGAAGUCAGUAGCCUAACCGCAAGGGGGGCGCUGCCGAAGGUAGGAUUGGCGACUGGGGUGAAGUCGUAACAAGGUAGC
RNAcentral lists this ribosomal RNA (209 nucleotides) under uncultured bacterium. RNAcentral describes it as "partial 16S ribosomal RNA". It matches the Rfam family "Bacterial small subunit ribosomal RNA", at positions 1292 to 1500 of the family's 1533-position model. The record is from RNAcentral.